UACGAAGGGGGCUAGCGUUGCUCGGAAUUACUGGGCGUAAAGGGCGCGUAGGCGGACAGUUAAGUCGGGGGUGAAAGCCCGGGGCUCAACCCCGGAAUUGCCUUCGAUACUGGCUGUCUUGAGUUCGGGAGAGGUGUGUGGAAUGCCGAGUGUAGAGGUGAAAUUCGUAGAUAUUCGCAAGAACACCAGUGGCGAAGGCGGCUCACUGGCCCGAUACUGACGCUGAGGCACGAAAGCGUGGGGAGCAAACAGG
RNAcentral lists this ribosomal RNA (253 nucleotides) under uncultured bacterium. RNAcentral's name for it is "partial 16S ribosomal RNA". It matches the Rfam family "Bacterial small subunit ribosomal RNA", at positions 524 to 776 of the family's 1533-position model. The record is from RNAcentral.